GGUUUAAUUCGAUGACAAACCGAAGAACCUUACCGUGGGUUUGACAUGUACGUGGUACGGAUAUAGAAAGUUGAAGGACUCCGCUUUCGGGUGGAGAGCGUACACAGGUGCUGCAUGGCUGUCGUCAGCUCGUGUCGUGAGAUGUUGGGUUAAGUCCCCGCAACGAGCGCAACCCCUGCAUUCAGUUGCCAUCGGGUGAAGCCGGGCACUCUGGAAGGACUGCCAUCGACAAGAUGGAGGAAGGUGGGGACGACGUCAAGUCAUCAUGGCCCUUAUGUCCAGGGCGACACACGUGCUACAAUGGCCGGCACAACGGGAAGCGAGUUCGCGAGGACGAGCGGAUCCCUUAAAGCCGGUCUCAGUUCGGAUUGCAGUCUGCAACUCGACUGCAUGAAGUUGGAAUCGCUAGUAAUCGCGGAUCAGCCAAGCCGCGGUGAAUACGUUCCCGGGCCUU
Molecule: ribosomal RNA, 454 nt
Filed under: uncultured Synergistaceae bacterium
Lineage: Bacteria; Thermotogati; Synergistota; Synergistia; Synergistales; Synergistaceae
Description: bacterial SSU rRNA
Rfam family: Bacterial small subunit ribosomal RNA
Source: RNAcentral